Molecule: non-coding RNA, 387 nt
Filed under: Pan troglodytes (chimpanzee)
Lineage: Eukaryota; Metazoa; Chordata; Mammalia; Primates; Hominidae
Source: RNAcentral
CUGCUUCCCCCCCCUCCCCCCCACUUUUCUCCCGGGCCGACGGAGCUGAAGGGGCGGGGGUUCCUUCCUUGGAGCGUUUCUAGAGCUCGGAGGCUGCUGGUAGGGGGGCACCACUUUCAGAUAAAAACAUAGACCUGAAUGGCAUCAUCCAGUAUCCAAGGAAACCAUUGUGUCUGUAACCAGCUAAUGAGCUGCAACAGAGCCUGGCCUUCAUUUUCAGCAAAUUAAGUUCAUCCCUCAUAGGAAUUGUGGUCUGGCUGUGGCACCGCUCCUAGACAUGACAAACUCCAAAAGGAAACCCAAGCAGCUAUUUGGCUCCCUUAAUUAAUGAAGUCGCCCAGUAUGGAUAAUUCAGGUUCUCUAAACAUGAGUAUGCCUUUGGGGGAA